RNAcentral lists this long non-coding RNA (4563 nucleotides) under Sarcophilus harrisii (Tasmanian devil). Its description in RNAcentral is "lncRNA (ENSSHAG00000021736.1)". Lineage: Eukaryota; Metazoa; Chordata; Mammalia; Dasyuromorphia; Dasyuridae. The record is from RNAcentral.
GGCGCCCUGCCCUUAGAUAAUUCUUUAUUGGCGCUAUGAGAAGCUGUCGCCCUCUCCAAGCAAAGCAAAGCACAGGUCCGGAGCCGAGAGGCCCAACUGCGGCUUUUCCGAAGGGCUCCGCUCCCAGGACACUUCUGUGAGAGGACUUGGGGGGGCCUGGGAGGGUCUCCAUCCCUCCCAGGAUCCUCAAGUAUACAAUGAGCACCGUCUUCCAAGGUGGGCGUCGGGCACCUUCCAGUUAGAGUUAACCAGGAAGGAAAUGGACUCGUGAUGGGGCAAGGGGACUGUGCUGACAGCUGGGGCCCCCUCAGGACCUCUAUACUUCAUCUUCACCCAGUUGGUUCCCUUCUCAGCCAGUUUAUCCUGCAAGAACAAAAGGGUUAAGAAACACCCAGUACCUAGGACUACUGUGCCACUAAGGAUAGGCAAAAGGUAAAGCCUCAGAAUCCACAGGAACUGGCCUGACAGCCCCCACGGCCAUGCUUCGGGAGUUCCCCAACUGUGGCAGAAAGGAGCUAUUGCCCCCUGUCCCCCUAUCCCAGUGGCCAAAUCCAAGGGCAGCGGUGACUGACUAGGCCAAGUCAGAAGCCACUUCUGGGAGAGGACGGGACAGGAGAAAGCAGCCCGACAGGGGAGCUCCAACUCCCAGAAGAUCCGGCCGGGGGCCUUGGGACAAGCUGUGUGACCUCAGACAAGCGUCUUGGGCUCAGCCUGGAGGUGGGAGUCCGGCUCCUCCCCCCUUUUCACAGCUAAAGUCCCGGCAGCUCCGGAAGGCCCAGGCGGCAGGCAAGGGACAAGCCCGCAGCUGGAGCCCAGAGAGAAAUGCUCCUGCUCCCCUCCCCCAGCCCCCGCAGGGAGCCCAGGAAAGGGUCGCCACCGUCACCGCCACCAGGAGAGCGCAGGGACGCUCCCACGUUCCACCGGACUUGGGAGAAGCUGGGGCAGCUGGUGGGGAGGCUGGCCGCUUCCGAAGUCCGUGGCGGGCCGGCUGCAUGGUAGCCGCUGUCACACGCACAGUGGGUCCCGCAGCACAAUGUGCGUUAGUCAGUGGCUCCCCUGCGACCGGAGUCUGAAUUUCAUGACUAAAGCCAGGAGCGCGGAGCCCAGACCUGGAUGCCAGAGAUAACCCCGCAGCAAAGCCCUUGAGGCUAAAAGUCUGGAGACCAGAACCGAAGGGCCGGCGGACCCCCGCUCAAAGCCAGAACCCAAGCACUGAAUCUCAAGCGACUAGACCCCGGAAGCCUGGCACCCCGGAACGCAGCAGGCGGAGCCCGAGAUGGAACUGGAAGCCAAGCACUGGCGCCGGGAAGCACAGGAGACGCGCCCGAGUCCUGGAGCUGGGUCCCGCGGAGCGCAGGAGACGCAUCCGGAGGAGCGCGGAGCCCAGACCUGGCGCCGGGGGAGCGCAGGACCCGGGGCUGGGGCCGCACCCACAGCUCGGGUGGAAUCCGGAGCCCAGGUGCCGGCAUCGGGGAACAUAGGAGACGAGCCCGAGCCCGAGCCCGGAGCCGCGGCCCAGGAGACGAAUCCAAGCAGGAGCGCUAGAGCCCAAGCGCCGGCGCCCGAGCCGGGCACCGCGGAGCCCAGGAGACAGACUGAGCCCUGCAACCAGAGCUCGCAGCGCUGCAGUCCCGAGCCCCAGCGCUGGCACCGGGAAGCGCACAAGGCGAGCCCCAGCCCGAGCGCUGCAGCCCGGAGCCCGAGCCUGGCACCGCGCGCGGAAGCUAGAGCCCAGAGCCCAAGGGCUGGAACCCGAGUCCGCAGCCUGCACGCCGCCCUCCCCCACCCUGCCCGCCCCCGGGGCGCAAGCGGUGAGCGUCUGGCUCGGGCGCUGGAGUUCAGAGCUCCAAGUCCCGAGCCCGGCAGCCCGGAGCGGACAUCCUCGGAGCCCGGCUCCGCUCUGGGGGGCUCGGCUGCGGCGGCCCCGCUCCCGCUGGCGCCACCGUGGAGUUUCCCAAGGCCGGAUCCGAGCCGCCAGGGCUGGGUCGGCCCGGGACCAACGUCUCCCUGGCCCCCGGGCCCCGAGAUACCCCCUAGGGGCCCCCAGGCCUCCGGGCCCCGGUGCCCCGACCCGCCAGCCCGCGCUCCGCCGCCGCCGCCGCCGCCGCCGCCGCCCCGCGUACCCAGCCUUCCGCCCCGCCCCGCAGGCCCCGCCCCUUUGCAAAUUACCCGCUAGCCUCCCAACCAAUAGGAAGUCGGUCUAAGCCCGCCCCGCUGCAGAUGCAGCCAAUGAGCGAGAGAAGGGGCGUGGCCUAUAGGCCCCGCAAGGGUGGUAGGCUCCAGUGCCCCGGCCGAGGGCCGCGCGGCGCGUUCGUUUCUGCACGUCCUCCUUCUGGGGGAAACCAUUUUCUCGGAGAUGGGGGAGUCAGACUCUGGAGUGAAUCCAUCCCUCGCAAUCUCCUGACUUCAUUGCGCACCCUAAAAAGACUACAAACGGAGAGACGGAAGGGGGGCGGGCUCGCGGGCCCCAUCCAGCAGAGGUGGGGAAGGGGAGGGAGAACGGGCCUCCCCCGAGGUUAGCGCAGUGGUAGGGACCCACCCGACGGCUACGCAGGGCCAUGAGGACGGGGUCGUUGGGCACGUAGCCACCGGCGCCGCGCACGCAGGCCGGGCCCCGCCCUCAGCUCCACGGGGCGCGCGCCUCUCUCCCCUAGCCAGCUGAAGUCUGGCGGAGAGCCGACGUAGUAGCCCUCGGCGGCCGCGCUGGGGCGCCAGAGCGCUGCGAGCGGUCCCUGGGUCCGCGCGGCUCCGCCUCCGCCUUUGCGUGCGCAGCCCUUAGUCCUUGUGCGUCUCCUCCGGCCUCCCCAGCCCCCUUACGUUUCCAGCAAGCCGCGCGGAGCCCGGCAUCGAGGCCCCCGGGGGGCCCGCCCCCGCGCAUCCCCCCGAGGCUUUUAAGGGGCUCCCAGGAAAGGGCCAGCGGAGCAGGCCGAGAGGGGAACUGGCCGCCAGCGCUGUCCACCGGCCCCUCCUCCUCGGGCGGGGGCAGCCCCCUCCCCUCGGAGCCCGGCCCAGGCCACGGGGUCUUCCAGGGCCGGAGUCUCCAUCCCUCCCCCGCCUCCCGCCUGGCGCUUGGAGGGUUGACUCGGAGCCCACGGGGAGACUCCUGUUCCUCCUUUGACAAGAGAAUCGGGCGGCUUGUGCUCUGGGCUCUCGGAGCUGCGGAUCCCAGAAGCCGGUAACCUCCCAGUGAUGAGGGCGCCCCCCAGUCUCUGCAAAGAGCCUCUGCUUCUGCGCCUUCAAGCCCCUCGCUGUAUCCCGCUAGAGGCUGAAGCCAAAAGGGGACCCUCACCCCUCUUCUGGAGAAGUUCCCCCCCACGGUCGGGGGAGCCUCCAGAAUCCUGGCAGUAACGCGGCUCCUCUGUCCCCGUACAGAGCCCACAGCGGGGCUUCCAGACGUGACCGGGCCUUGCCCAGCACCUCCUGCCCGCCACCCAACAGGCUCACCGCCAAGGGAUCAUCGUGUCCCCGAUUUCAGAGAGGGGAAGUGAGGCUCCCAGUGGGGCGCACUUGUUGGGGACGAUUGAUCCCUUUGGCAGCUCUGAAGGGCCAGCCGAAGGGGGUGGGAGGGGAGAGUGACCAGCUGAGCCACAGCAGUUAAGAAUCCCUCCCCUGGAAAAGUUUAGUGCCUGCAAAGCAGGGCCUUCACUCGGGCACAGUGCCUGUAAACAGGAAGUGCCAAAUAGAUGUUUAGGGACCUUCCCCAGCCUCUAUGGUCAAGAUUGCUUUUGCAGCCUCUGAACCCGCCAGCUGCCCAAGGAGAAGCCCGGCAGUGCUGAGGCUUCCAGGGCAUCUUGCACCAGUGCGAUAGAAGCUUCCCGAGGGCAGGGACAGGGCCCGUCUCUGCACCUGACAAGUAGCCACACUGUCCAUUCCCUUUAGUCGCGUCCAACUCUCUAUGACCCCAUUUGGGGUUUUCUUGACAACCUGGUUGCUGUUCCCCAGCUCUUUGUACAGAUGAGGACGCUGAGGCAGGCUAGUUAUAUGAGGGCCCAGGAUCACGCUGCCGAGACUGCCUUGCACUCUCACCUACUGUAACACUUAGCUGCCUCUGGCAAACAGGAGGCGCUCAAUAAAUGCUGGUUGAUUGAAGUCAGUUGAUCUAUGCUGUGACAGAAGGGGGGAGGGGAAGGCUCAAGUGACCAGGUGGCCACUGGGUGCUCAGAAGACUGGCCUUGGAGUCCGGAACACCCGAGUUCCAGGCUGGGUGAGCCCGGGCAAGUCACCUCGCCUUCCUGAUGGCAGACCCAGGGCUCCGGCCGCCGGUUCCCUAGCUGCCUCUAUCACUGUCGUCCCCCUCCCGGGCCCCUCGGCAGCUCCACCAAUGAUGCACCAGCUGGGCCAGCUUCCUGCCCCUUCUCCCUUGGAGGACGGCUCUCUCUGAGCCCUUCCCAGCGGGCUCCGCAUGCUGGGGACUCCUCAGGAUACCGCCGGUGCCUAUUCAAUGCUGGUGGCUGGGAAGGGACCACAGGAAGGCAGAACCAUCCCUUCCCCAGGCCUCCCCGCGAGCCCCACCCCUGGCUCCUUCCCCCACUCUCUCUGGCUCCCAGCGCCGGCCCUUCCCCU